AUGCACGCUGGCGGCGUGCCUCAUACAUGCAGGUCGAGCGAACGGACGAGAAGCUUGCUUCUCUGAUGUCAGCGGCGGACGGGUGAGUAACACGUGGAUAACCUACCUAUAAGACUGGGAUAACUUCGGGAAACCGGAGCUAAUACCGGAUAAUAUUUUGAACCGCAUGGUUCAAAAGUGAAAGACGGUCUUGCUGUCACUUAUAGAUGGAUCCGCGCUGCAUUAGCUAGUUGGUAAGGUAACGGCUUACCAAGGCAACGAUGCAUAGCCGACCUGAGAGGGUGAUCGGCCACACUGGAACUGAGACACGGUCCAGACUCCUACGGGAGGCAGCAGUAGGGAAUCUUCCGCAAUGGGCGAAAGCCUGACGGAGCAACGCCGCGUGAGUGAUGAAGGUCUUCGGAUCGUAAAACUCUGUUAUUAGGGAAGAACAUAUGUGUAAGUAACUGUGCACAUCUUGACGGUACCUAAUCAGAAAGCCACGGCUAACUACGUG
This 496-nucleotide ribosomal RNA is filed under the name uncultured bacterium. Its description in RNAcentral is "partial 16S ribosomal RNA". It matches the Rfam family "Bacterial small subunit ribosomal RNA", at positions 29 to 507 of the family's 1533-position model. The record is from RNAcentral.